GUUCAAUCAGAAAUACACGUCAGUUAUGACAAGGCCAUUAUAAGCCAAGGUCCAUUGAAAUCUACAAAGAGCAUCUCAACAUUGGGGUUAACAAUGAGUAGGGGAAAGACAAAAAAGAGACAAGAGAGAGAAUGAAAGAAGUUAUUCACAACCACAAUUCUCACUCAACAUCCACUCCACUUCAUAAUCAUCAUUCCACCAUAACUUCAGUCUCUCCUCUUCUUCUUCCUCUCAUUCUUCUCAGCUGAGUUCUUUAGCAUUAUAAUCAGAAUUCGGACAAAAACAGCAAUGAAAUCAGUAAAAAGACUCAACGCGUGUUUCACAUAAUCCAUAUCACCAAGAUGUGCCUUCUCAAUUAUUUCCUGAGUAUCAACUACCAUGUACCCAACAAAAACCAAGAGCCCAAAGUACAACUCAAACUUGAAAAGGGCAGUAGAACCACCGAAUACAGAGGAGGCAAAAUGUAACCAGAGUAACAUGGAUACGCCUGAAGAAAGUAAACCACCGAGAUAAAGGAAUUCUCUACGUCUUGCCAACAAGGCUGCUCCUGAGAAACAACAAAAGGCAACCGCAGUUCCCACGAAAGCGCUCACCAGAACACUUGGGUCAAUCUCAACAGCCAGAUUAAUCAAAGGACCAAUUGAAGCCCCUUCAAAAAGAGCAGCCCCUAAUAAAAUAGAGGUCCUCCUUUUCUCUUCAUAAGGAGGGGUGGCAAUUAGCCAUGUAAUACAUCCAAUAGAUGCAAGUGUUGUGAGAAUACCGCCAAUAUUCCAAAGUAUAUGCAGAUAAGCUCCAGCAGCAGAUGCAACUAAAGCACAACCAAGAGUAAGGUAAACCUGGUGGAGAUGAGACUGAACGGCCGGCGAAAUCUGCCGGAGAUUCUUGAGAGAAUCAUAGCUCCAACGGUUUCUAGAUCCUACUUGAGAAUCGAAGAAAGAUGAAAAUGCAUCCAUUUUGAUUGCUUUGAAGAGUUACAGAGCAAGUACGAAGGAUGAC
This 996-nucleotide unclassified non-coding RNA is filed under the name Hevea brasiliensis (rubber tree). The record is from RNAcentral. Lineage: Eukaryota; Viridiplantae; Streptophyta; Magnoliopsida; Malpighiales; Euphorbiaceae.